This 1206-nucleotide long non-coding RNA is filed under the name Hordeum vulgare. RNAcentral's name for it is "long non-coding RNA (HVUL_LNC007171)". Lineage: Eukaryota; Viridiplantae; Streptophyta; Magnoliopsida; Poales; Poaceae. The record is from RNAcentral.
GCGGCAUGAAUAUGGCUGACAAACUUAUAGUGGUUGUCGAAUUGUACCAACCACAUCUUAUGUUGCCACCAGAACAAUAUUAAUGUGACUAUGUAGAAAUGGAGAAGGGUCAAAGGUAUUCGAUAUCAUACAUUCACGACUACUACUCCUUCUGUACCAUGGUAUGAUUCUUUUGUAUGUAGUUUGUUACUUGCAGCAUAGACUGUACAUAUGCCAGAAUAUGAUUGGAGAAUUAGUCCCUCACCAAGCUAUACUUCCCAAGUUAGCAAAAUGUUAAUAUGAUGACAAAAGUACAAUCAAUAUUUUGAUGAUAAAGAAUUCCGUGUUGAAUAGUCAAUAAAUAAGCCUUUUAUAGCAUCAAUUUUUAUAUAGAUUAAUUUGGUUCAUGCUUAGGAAUUGUUGACUCACUUAACUCUGUCAUGGAGCCGAGAUGAAAUUAUACAACGACAAAGCAGACAUGUUGACAAAGUACCAAUGUAUACACUAAAAAGGGCAUUUGUUUACCAUGCAUCCUUCCAAUAAUGAUAAUUAUUUUCCAACUUUUACUUGCUUUUUCUUGAGCUAUAGCCUUGCCCUAGAUAGGGGAAAAAGUGUCUAGCUAGCUUUUAUCCCAACAUAAUGAGAAUUUAUGAUUGAUCUACACAUUAUUAGUAUAUGAUUGUUUCCUUACUUCCCAUUCAACAAAUGUAUAUCCUGAUUGUUUGGAGUGGCCAUGCAGUCCCCUCCUUAUGUUUCCAGCAAAGAAAAGAUGCUCGAAACAUUGCAGUUUCUUGGUUAUUAGGCGACCCACCACCGCCAGAGAACGGAGACUUAGACUGGAACCAACCAUCUGCAAAAAGAGUAACAGAGCAAAGCAGAGAAGAAAAUGGAGGGGGGGGUACUAGCUAACUACUUUAAAAGGAAAGACAAACUUCUCUAAAGAGGCCUUUGGUCCUUAGGCACAACCUAUAUUUUUUACACGAAGAUAACAAUUGGAAUGGAUCAUGAAAUCUUCAUGUCAAAACUUCCUAAUUUAUAUGUUUUACUUAUAUUUAAUUAAGAAAAUACCAAGUUAAGCACGGCAUUGUUUUCGACCAGCUGUUUGUCAGUUCAUGUGGAGUCUGUAGCUUAUUGCAAAGGUCAAGCUAACAAAAUGGUCAGAUGAUCAACAUCUGCUGCUCUGAGAUGGCACAUCUUCAAGCAUUGGUCUCUGCUAUCUAUAGGAAG